This 239-nucleotide long non-coding RNA is filed under the name Homo sapiens (human). Its description in RNAcentral is "HSALNT0373828". Lineage: Eukaryota; Metazoa; Chordata; Mammalia; Primates; Hominidae. The record is from RNAcentral.
GUGCUAUUUAAAGGAAAAGAAUUGCAGUGAAGUAAUAGUUUGACGGCUCCUGAACUGCAGUGUAUACUCCUAGAUGAACCAAAGAUUGAUAAAUUCAAGCAAAGCAUGAGAAUUAUCAGACUAAAAAUAUGAAUGAGUUGAGAUUACAGCAGGAUUCAGAGAUAAGCAGAACUGCCAAAACUAAGCCUGGAAGAUUUAAAUUAUUAAUGAGGUCUUGAUAGAUGUAAUUUACUACAUAC